This is a long non-coding RNA of Anguilla rostrata (American eel), 7305 nucleotides long. RefSeq lists it as uncharacterized. NCBI's taxonomy places the organism in Eukaryota, Metazoa, Chordata, Actinopteri, Anguilliformes, Anguillidae. The transcript is spliced from 2 exons. The record is from RefSeq and is a predicted model, not a curated record.
GUACGGGGUGAGGCUGCCACCUCGUAGUCGUGUAAGGAAGUGCAGCGUCGCGACGUUACGUUCAGUGCGGGAACGGGGCUGUGCCGCGCUUCAACCGCACUUUCGCUCGGAAAAACACGACGUGGUGUUAAUCAACACAAGCAGCAUGUCAGUAAAAAAGAGCACGAACAAAAAAACAAAAAAUGUAAACGAAUAAAACUGUUUCCUCCGCAUAAGAUGGAAUAAGAGCUAAUUACGGUAACAUUAAAUGCAUGCGGACAGAGGGCGAACUUUCCUUAAAGUUUCGGGCACCAGUUGUUAUUUUCCCGGCCAUAUUGAAAUCUUAAACUAUACACUAUAAAGGAUAAAGAGCCCACAGCGGACAGGAACAUAGGGCCACCCGCUCGUACCCGCUCAGGGUACAAGAUGCAUCUUGGCAAUCAAUGUCUUGCAUUGAUUUUCCACAGGCCGAGCGUACGAUCUGAGUGCCUUGGCUCUGUGACAGACCUUCCUUGAGCGAACGCACAUCACGAUCAUUGGGAUGGCAGGCAUGACAUCCCGCCAAGUUACGCCUUGGCGGGGGCAUGCCCCAUACCUAUACAGCACCGAGAGUUUGGCACUUUUCAGGGUUCCCCACAGAAAUAACCACAACAGCCACAGACACUCAGCCCUUAAAAACAUUAAAUUCUGUACAUUCUCACCCCAUUUCAACAGACAGAAUUAAUAAACAACUUCACAUGUCCACACAAUAAAGCCCCAAACUAAGGGGAUUUUGCGUUUUCUCCUCCACCUCCUCAUUCUUCUUAUUUUUCCUGCCGCCUAUCCCACUAACAACAUGUCUCCCCAUUGGGCAUUUUACCGACACCAGCCAAAUAUUCACCUACACGACCCAAUCGAAAACUCGCAUACACGCGCAAAAUACCCAUACCUUUUUACUCUGAAACAUUGCCAGUUUAGACAGCUAGUCUGCCUGUGGCCUAGUGGGCACAGGGGGUAGGAGGUUCAAGUCUCGCUAGGAACACAUUUCUUUAACCUGCUUUUACCCUCACUAAUAAUUGUCUACUACUUCUCAAUUAUUGCUUUUGCACCAUAUCUACCCGCCGUUCACCGAACGUAUACACUGCAUAUACACCCUGUGUUUUGUAAUCUUACCAUUUUACAAUCUCAUGCAAACUUUGUGUCAGAUCAAAGUGUCACAUAUUUCGAAUUGCCUCAUGGAACACAUUGAAAUUCAUGUAGAAAACUGCUGGUGAGUAACUACAGGAAGCAUAUUUCUCCAGAAAACAUAUGUUUAUACUUGCUUCUGAACUGAAUUUCAGUAAAUGUACAAGUUAUUGUAUAUUUGCUACGUACAAUAAAUACUGCAUGUAAACUACAUAUUGUACAUACAUACAUCGAGAACUUCUUUAUCCCAAUGGGGACAUUUCCCUCGCAGCAUGUUACAUUAACAUUUACGAACACACAUUUAUACCAAGAAACAUACAAUCAUUCACGCAACAGAAAGGCUGGGCAGCGAAAUACGUACAUACCAAUACAAAUUGGACAUACAGACGCCUAUUCAAUCAAUCCUGACUGUGAGAAAGCCAUCCACACAUAUGUUUGGCCUAUCCAUGUACUGCAUGCUUAUACACACGAAAGAAUUGAGAAAAUAUUGGGUAGCAUAGUUUUGGAAUACAUUUUAUUUAAUUUCGGUGAGGGAAGAUAGCCUAUAUUGUUUUUAGUACCGUAACUUGGCGUCAUUUUUAUAUCAAUACUUUUAAUGCCAGGCGUGGAUUUUGGCAGUCUGAAUGAAUGAGUUAUAGACGGUGUAUGUGUGAGUAACUUGGCAUUUUUGUACGUUGAAAACGUGUUUUUUAUGAGAUAUAACUACGGGUGCGCGACUGUCAUUCCUGCUCCUUAGCUAGCUGACCCCUACUUUCAGGAGAUGGCAACUUCAGGUGGAAUCGCGGAAAUCAAAGAAAAUUCGGUUAUUUCCUUGCAAAAACGCCCUUUCACAAGGCGUUCGCUGCAAGAAAAAAAGAGAAUAAAGGAGCUUGGACCGGACCGACCCGAUUUACAAAUUUCGCAGCAGGCAGGUGAUCGAGGACGAGCCUACACCCGGGGCUUCUCCCGCUCUUGUUAUGACAAACGGAGUUGGCUAGCUGGAUGUGGUGUAAGUAAUGCCUUUUAUUUUUUCCCGUUUGCUAUUUCAAAGUGUCGGCACCGAAGCGUUGUGGACAACGACGGGGGUACAAGACCUAUAACAUCUUUCUGAAAAAUGCAAACGGCACGAAAGUAGCCGCAGCCAUCUAGACAAUAGUAUGAGACUAAAAAUCUUUUUGGCAGGUUUAGCAUUGCUGAACAGCUAGGUGAAGGCUACAGGGCAUUAGAAGGCACAACGAAGAGGUGACAAAAUCGACACAUCCUGUCCAGAAUAAUAGACUGUGUGAAAUUUUGUGGAGCAUUUGAGUUGGCUUUGCGUGGCCAUGAUGAGAGUGAGAGCUCCGAUAAUCCCGGGAUAUUCCGUGGGUUGGUGAAUUUUGUUGCCUACUUUGAAUUUCAGCAUUCACAUAUUCACAUUUUGUCCAGCAGAUGGCUCUAUAAAUGACCUUGGAGUUAGCGAAUAUGUUCCUGCUCUUUUUAUGACUUCAUAGAAUGUAACAGUGGCAGUAAAAUUACUUCAGUAGUUCCAUAUUUAGAAAUUGAGCUGUUGCCUGUUGGUAACUUUAGGUGAUGUAGGUGAAAUGGGCAUUUUGUUGUCUCUAAAUAUUAUUUUAUAUUAUUAAGGAGGGCAAAAUAUGUUCAAGUAGUGCUACUGGCCAGUGUUUAGGCAACAUUACAGUGUGUUGUGUUGUUUUAGAUUUAUUUUAAUUUUUUUAUUUUUUGCUGAGCUAUGAAGUGCUGCUUCAGUUUGUUUGUCCCCCCCAAAAACUGCGCCCCCCCAAACAAUUUUAUCACCAGCCGCCACUGGAUGAUAAUAUUUGAAUUAGAUGAAAUAUUACUCUCACAAUGAUGCGGUUUUGAUUUUAAUUUUUUCUCAAUCUGGAUAAGGCUGCAAUACAGGUAACUACCAUGAUGAUGAUAGAAACGCUUCAGUAAAAGAGGGAUACACAGUGCAUUGAAAGCAAGUGCUUCUGCACAGGUUGGAAACACCUAUCUACUCAAGAGUCAGCGUCCCAUCUGGGAAUUGAACCCGUGACCUUGAGGUGCAAGCCCAUUUCCAAAAGCGACACGCUAGGCUACGGGUUCCCUUUCGCUGGGGGAAGUGCAGAGACAGGAAGUGACCCGCACCUGUGGUGUUCCUUCCUGUCUGCACGAGGCUGGGAGGAGAGCGAUAUCUUGAGCCGACGUCUCCGUGGGGAGCUCCAGAUCUCCGGGGUCACUUCUGCACAGGUUGAGGGUGGAUCCAGAUGUAAUUUAAACAUUUAAAUAUCCCAGUGUGUUCCCACUUCUCCCCAGGAUUCCCUUUUUGGGGAGCACUUGUUUUCGGCAGGGUGUUUCAGUGACUAAGGCUGCUGAACAUGCUGAAGUUUCCACCAGGAACAACGGUUUAGAUGAUGUUGUCAAAAGAACCUGAGGGUAACCAGGGGCAACCGCGGUUGAAGGAGUAUACCCCUUGACCGCGAUGUCCUGCAUUGGUCGGAGAAGCGAGGUGAAAACAGACGAGCAUGAGCUCACUACGAACAUCGAUGCAGGACGUGAGCGGGCAGUUUAUUUUGGCAGUUCCCUGUAACACAUUUAUGAGUAUGACGCUGACUGCUUGUUUUUUUUUUAAUGCAGUGUGGUCUCAAAUGUGUGAACUGCAGUUUAGCACUGAGUAUUUUACUGUGCGAAUGGAAAAAGUAAUCAUUUAGCCUAAAUUCUGGAUUCUUUAGCUUUGAAAGAUCAAUAGUUUUCAGCAGUGGUUUUGUGACAGUUUUGUUUAUUUUGUAUCAGUUUUUGUCUACCUGUAUGCUGCCUUUUUACUGAAAUUGCCAGCCUGUGGAAAAGCAGACUUUAGUUAUGUGAAUCAUUUUGUAUUACUCAUAAGUCACUUUUGCAGUCUGCAUUGUUCAUGCUUCUAGAAACUUCCAGCCACAAAAAAAAAUGCUUGUGUUUAGGAUGAUCAGUAUUUGGCUUUAUCAGUCAUAGAUGGAAUCUACAACCAUUAAAAUGGGUUGUGUGUAGUAGGCCAAAGAAAUAUUAUUUUGUGUAAUUGUAAUGUCUUGAAGUUGUUUGAGAAGAGAUCCCAAUACCUACAAUUCCUGCUAUUCCUUUGUUUUGUAAAGCUCAAAAUAUUUCAUAUAACAACAUACUGUAUAAUUUUGAAUUAAAAAAAAUUUCCUUCAAGAAAUGCCAUCUAGUCUGGCUUCCUGUUUUGUUAUUAACCGAAUAACAGAAGCAUGCUCAAAAGAAGAAGCCUGUUCUCACUGGAAGUGGCCUGCCAAAAGCAAGAGAAUAUAUUUAAGUGGCUAUAAGAAUAUAUUUUUGUUUCCAGAGGUACAUUUAUUUAUUUAUUUUUUGUGGGCAAUAUUCUUCAUUGCACACAAAAUCUGUCUCAGCCAAUUGCUAACAUACCCUAAAACUGAAAUUAUAUAUUUUUUGAAACCUCAGAAAGUAAACUAUCACUUUAAUCUCUCGAAUGAUAAAAAAGCUAAACCACAUGACAGUCACAUUUUUUUAACCCAGAAAGCAAAGAAGAGUGAGCUAAAAUUCAUCCACAGCGAUGUGAAAGACUGAUAUCUAAUUAUAGGAAGCAUUUGGUUGCAGUUAUUGCUGCUAAGCGUGAUGCAACCAGUUAUUACAUUUAAGGGGGCAAUUACUUGUACGCAUGGGUGAUAUGAGUGUUUGUUAAAUUUUUUCAUUAAAUAAAUGCAAUAAUUAAAAAAAUGUGUUUUGUGUUUACUCAGGUUUGCGUUGUCUAAUAUUACAUUUCGUCUAAAGAUCUGGAACCAUUUAGUGUGACAAAUACACAAUACUAGAAGAAACCAGGAAGGGGAAAAAUUUUCACAGCACUCGAGGUUUGUCGAUCCUUCACACAACAUACACUGGUGCAGAUAUAAGGAGAGCUAGGCUUUUUCCACAUUUUACUUUUUUUUACCCAGAAAGCAAGCCAUUUACAUUUAGCAGAUAUCUCUUAUGUGGAGUGACUCAGAUGCAUAACAUUUGUACGUCCCUUUUCAGCACCAGCAAGCCCGUUUUUUCCCAAAAGCGGCCACGCUACGGGUUCCCUUUCGCAGGGGGAAGUGCAGAGGGAGGAAGCGAGCUGUACCUGUAGUGUUCCUGUCUGCGCGGUGGCCCGCGGGGAGGUCUGAUAUCUCCAGCUGAGUGUCUCCGCAGUGAGCUCCAGAUCUUUUGGUCACUUCAGCUCGUCACCCGCAGAAAUGGAAACUGCGAGUGGAGAUGUUCCCGCCCACCCUGCAGGCGUCACCGCCCCGCCCCAAAUUUUUGGCAGAUUUUGGCAGUCUGGAUGAAUGAGCUAUAGACGGUGAGAAAUUAGGAGAAAUUAUGAAAUUGCGUAGUUGAAACAAUAUGUUUUUAGCAGAAUGGACAUGUAGGUGAAGGUUGACAUGAUCACAGACUAUAGUGCGAAGUAAAUGAAGUGACCAUGAGCGAGCUUAGUUUCCUUAUCGAAGGGUAUAUGUAACAGUCUGUAUAACAUAUUUGUCGUUAAAGUGGAGGGUUAAGUAACGCGUGAAAUCUAUUGCACUGAUGUGCUUUUCUCAUGUUCAGUACUAGUAGUUAUAAUUAUGAGUGAGUCAUGAUUUUAAAUGUAAUGUUUUAAUGGGGAGUUGCAGAACGUACAUACGUAGUAAUUGUUUGUAUGUGGCUAGAUAGAGAACAGGGCGAGGUAACAUGAAUGUAGAAACGUGCUGUUUGCUGAUAAGAAGGUUUUGUACGGUAGCCAAAUGAAGAAAUAUAGUUAGUAGAAAUGGCACAGUGGUGAACUGGUGUAACUUUUUAAUAAAAGGAAUGCAUUUGCCGUCAUGAAAUGCAUCAAAUAUAUAAAUAUAAGCAUAAGAAAACGUUAGUGUAAAAGAGGAAAUGAUCUGUCUGAGGGCGAGGCGAGACAUGACAUAGCGAUGCAAUGCGUGAAAUACCAUUAGCAAACCUGUCCGUGGUUUUAAAGAAGAACACAGGCCAGUAAGCACAGAGGAGCUCCCGUUGAAUCCAUAUGGCUUUGCAAUAUUGUAGCCGGUUAAUAACUGAACGUGCAGUCGGUACAUCAUAAUGCAGUGUAUACGUUCGGUGAACGGCAGGUAGAUAUGGUGCAAAAGCAAUAAUUGAGAAGUAGUAGACAAUUAUUAGUGAGGGUAAAAGCAGUUUAAAGACACGUGUUCCUAGCUGGGCUUGAACCUGGGACCCCAUGUUCCCAAAACUGUAACCUUGCCCACUAGGCCACAGGCAGACUAACUUUUUAAACUGGAAAUGUUUCAGAGUAAAAAGGCAUGGGUAUUUUGCGUGUGUAUGCAAGUUUUUGAUUGGGUCGUGUAGGUGAAGAUUUGGCUGUCGGUAAAAUGUCCAAUGGGGAGACAUGUUGUUAGUGGGAUAGGCGGCCGGAAAAAUAAGAAUGAGAAUAAGAAGAAGAAGGAGAAAAUGCAAAAUCCCCUUAGUUUGGGGCUUCAUUGUGUGGACAUGUGAAGUUGUUUAUGAAAUCUGUCUGUUGAAAUGGGGUCAGAAUGUACAGAAUGUCAUGUUUUUAAGGGCUGAGUGUCUGUGGCUGUUGUGGUUAUUUCUGGGGAACCCUGAAAAGUGCCAAACUCUCAGUGCUGUAUAGGUAUGGGGCAUGCCCCCGCCAAGGCGUAACUUGGCGGGAUGGCAUACCUGCCAUCCCAAUAAUGUUUGCCUGUAUGAACAGUGAGCACUGUUUUUCAUACCAGAACCAAAAGCAGAACUGUGUAGAAUAUUGGCGUAAUGCACACAACUGUUUUUUUUUUUUUUUUUGGCCAAAUUGACAGUUGGACAUAAAGUGGUCAGUUCAGAGUUUGGUUUGUCAGCUGUGCGCACAUAUCUGCUCCUCCCAGUCAAAAUCAGGUGGUGAGAUGGUAGUCGUUUGACAACACAACAGUUUUGUUGACAGAUCUCAGCAUGUGAGGAGACCAGACCCACUAUGUUCGAUCUAUGUUCUGCAUCGCAUAUGAUGAAAUUCUCGCACUUUGAUUUUUAUUCCGUUUUAAAGUGAAUUUCUGCACUUUUAUUUUUAUUUAUUUAUUUAUUAUUAUUAUUUUAUUUUAUUGCCUUGUUUUAUUUGUUAUUUUCUAUCUUACUCUAUUUUAUUAAUUCUGUGUCUUAUUCCGUAUCUAUGUGAACCACUUUGAAUUGCCUUGUGUAUGAAAAGUGCUAUACAAAUAAACUUGCCUUGCCUUG